RNAcentral lists this ribosomal RNA (253 nucleotides) under uncultured bacterium. RNAcentral's name for it is "partial 16S ribosomal RNA". It matches the Rfam family "Bacterial small subunit ribosomal RNA", at positions 524 to 776 of the family's 1533-position model. The record is from RNAcentral.
UACGUAGGGGGCAAGCGUUGUCCGGAUUUAUUGGGCGUAAAGAGCGUGUAGGCGGCCAUACAGGUCAGCUGUGAAAACUCGAGGCUCAACCUCGAGACGUCGGUUGAAACCGUAUGGCUAGAGUCCGGAAGAGGAGAGUGGAAUUCUCGGUGUAGCGGUGAAAUGCGCAGAUAUCUGGAGGAACACCGGUGGCGAAGGCGGCAUCCUGGACCGGCAUUGACACUGAAAAGCGAAAGCCAGGGGAGCAAACGGG